CCCUUAGAUGUCCUGGGCCGCACGCGUGCUACACUGAUGCAUACAGCGAGUACUUUCCAGCUCCGCGAGGCAGCUGGUAAUCAGCAAUAUGCAUCGUGCUGGGGAUAGAUCUUUGGAAUUAUAGAUCUUGAACGAGGAAUUCCUAGUAAGCGCAAGUCAUUAGCUUGCGCUGAUUAAGUCCCUGCCCUUUGUACACACCGCCCGUCGCUACUACCGAUUGAAUGGUUCAGUGAGAUAAUCGGACAGAAAACUUGGCAACUGGCAACAGUUGACGUGCAUUUUUGGAAGACGAUCAAACUUGGUCAUUUAGAGGAAGUAAAAGUCGUAACA
This 330-nucleotide ribosomal RNA is filed under the name uncultured eukaryote. Its description in RNAcentral is "partial 18S ribosomal RNA". It matches the Rfam family "Eukaryotic small subunit ribosomal RNA", at positions 1470 to 1796 of the family's 1831-position model. The record is from RNAcentral.